RNAcentral lists this unclassified non-coding RNA (4424 nucleotides) under Portunus trituberculatus (swimming crab). Its description in RNAcentral is "uncharacterized LOC123499164, transcript variant X3". The record is from RNAcentral. Lineage: Eukaryota; Metazoa; Arthropoda; Malacostraca; Decapoda; Portunidae.
UUUUAUAUUUUCAUUUUUUUAUUAAUUCAUUUGUUUAUUUAUUUAGUUAGUUUUAGCUACCACGUAAUGUCAGUACCCCAGACGCUUGAUGUACGCAUUUUGUGACAAACAUACGUAAAAUAAAUACCUCUAUAGGUGUGUAAUGCUUUGUUUUAUCAAUAAAAUAAAAUCAUGGCUGGUGCGGGAGAACCGAACCUGUCGGCCACUCGUCAGAGUCCUGUCCAAGUUGCACAGUUGCGUGUGUUGCUGCCAUUCCAGUCUGAAAUGCUAGGUAGUUAAGUUAAACAAUAUUGUACUACCUUUUUCAUUGGAUACUGUUAUCAUUAGUAAUUUCACAGACGCGACGUACGUUUCUGGACAUUUUGUAAUAUGCUUGAAAUAAUGGCACACAUUUUCAUGACAUGCUUACCGCUGUGAAUGACUGACAGUGGAAUAUGGAUGGACCGAGCAUGGGUAGAGAGAUACGCGUCACGCGAAUACGUGUCUCAUACCAGUAGCGGACAAGGCAUAACCACGAUCAAGUCCUCGCAGUCGCCUCACUACCUCAGUGACUCAGUCGCCUGCCUCAGCUUCUCAAGUGUAAACCCGCCUCGGUACGUCGAUAAUUUUGCUCGUAGCUACGCUUACUUCACGUACAUGUCGCAAUUCGAUGGUUGCCUAGCUUUCUACAAGCAACAAUGAGCAAAAAGUACGCACAACAUUUUAGAGCAGAGUGGUUAAAAGACCCAAAUUAUGAGAAAUGGUUGCGGAGAGUAGAAGGUGAUGAUACGAAAUGUGUUUGUAAGUACUGUCAUUGCACACUGUCUGCAAAACGUAGUGACAUUGAUAGACACAGACAGACAUUAAAACAUAAGAAAGCAGAGAAACCUUUCAGUACCGAAAGACAAGGCACAAUACCAUUUGAAAAAGUGAGUAGUGACACACAUGUGACUGAAGGAAAUGUAUCCCUAUUCAUUGCAGAACACUGUUCAUUACGUGUUGUUGAUCACCUCAGUGAGCUGUGCAAAGUAAGAUUUGCAGAUAGUAAGGGAUGCAAGGAUUUCAAGCUAAAGAGGACAAAGUGCAGUGCUAUUGUGUGCAACGUGCUUGCUCCACACUUCAGCAGUGAUUUGAAAGAUGACAUUGGUGAUCAAAAGUUCAGUCUCUUAAUUGAUGAGAGUAAUGACAUUACAGUAACCAAGCUACUAGGAAUUGCUAUUAGAUUUUACUCAAGAAGUAAGAAAAAAAUUGUAGUGACAUUUUUGGACCUUGUUGAACUCCCAGACUGUGAUUCUACUGGAAUAUGUGAUGCCUUGAAAAGAUCCUUGAAAAAUAAUGGACUGGAGUUACAAAAGCUCACUGCUAUAGGGACUGAUAAUGCUUCUGUUAUGACGGGAGUUAACAGUGGAGUGUAUGCAAAACUCAAAACAGAAGUUCCUCAUCUCAUCCUUAUUAAGUGUGUCUGCCAUUCUUUGCAGUUAGCUGUGUCUCAUGCAACAGCUCAGUGCCUCCCUAGAAACCUAGACUUUUUGAUUAAAGAGACUUAUAAUUGGUUUUCCCACUCUGCUAUCCGCCAAGCUAGAUACAAGGAAAUAUUUUCUCUGAUAAAUGAUGGUCAAGCUCCACUUAAAUUAAUUCACCUGAGCCAGACUCGAUGGCUUUCAGUUGAAUCGGCAAUAGUCAGAAUUUUGCAACAAUGGCUUGAACUUAAGACUCACUUUGGCAUGGCAAGACAUGGUGAAAAGUGUUACACAGCUGAGAUCCUGUAUGGAAUGUUUUGUGACAAGGAAAACUAUGCAUUCCUUGUAUUUCUGAAACAUAUUCUGGGAGAAGUUCAGCGAGUUAAUAAGAAAUUUGAAGCAGAGGUACAAGAUCCAACGAAACUACUGAGUGACCUUCUUCAUCUUAUUGAUUCUAUGAAGUCAAAGGUCCUCAUCCCAGGUAAAACAUUAAAGGCAGGGAGUUGAUUGAAAGCUACUUGGACCCACGUCCUUACUUGGGAUAUGAGUUUGAAAAGGAGAUGUCAGAAUGCAAAUUUCCUCAUGAAAACAAAUAAGACAAAGAUGUGUAAGUUUUGUUGUGGAGCUAAUCAAACAGCUUGAGCAACGUCUGCCUGACAAUGUUCAAGUCUUGCAGUCAAUGUCCUUACUGAGUGCAGGUGAAUGCUUGCAACCCAUAAAGCCUGGAAUAAUAGAUCUAGCAAAGAUGUUCACUGAGAGUGAUGAAAUUUUGACACGAAUUGACUUCCAGUGGAGAAAUCUACAUAAAAUACUGUGGAAGAAAAAUACUGACACAUCAGAACUCUGGGCUGAAAUAUCUUCGCACACAGAUGCAACUGGAGAAAACCCCUUCAGUGAUCUUGCAGAAUUGGCUUUGACUGUCCUAACACUACCUCACUCGAAUGCAGAUGUGGAACGCAUCUUCAGUCACAUGAAUAUCGUGAAGUCAAAGCUACGAAAUCGGCUGAGUAUCAAAAGCUUAAAUGCGUUGCUGACUAUUAGAUAUGGACUACGAAGAAAUGGAAGCUGCUGCUAUGAUUACAAACUGCCUAAGGAAGUACUUCAAAGUAUUGGAACACUUAAAGCAUACGAGUCAUCACAAUCUCCAGCAGGAUGCUCACACACAACCACAGCAGAGUGCCGCCACAGACGAAGAGAUUGGAGACUGGGAGCUGGCAGAUUUGGAGUAAAAAUCCUGGCAGCGCUGGUGUUGUCCACGCUGGCGGCGGUGGGAGUGACUUUACCGCGGCCGCAGGAAGGGCAACAUGACGAUUACGAUGGUCCAUGGCCCGUCAUUCCCUACGAAUAUGCUUUCGAGAUCUCCGACGAGGCCAGCCUGACGUAUUACAGCCGUACAGAAACGAAGCUACCAAAUGGCGAUGUUUUCGGGUCCUGGGCUGUGCUGCUUCCCAAUGACGAUAUCCAGACGGUGGUGUACAAUGUUACAGAUGGGCGAGGCUUCAAACACACCAUCACUUACUCCCCUGCAGAGGAGUUUGGUCUUUAUAGAUAAGGAUGCUCUCUCUCUCUCUCUCUCUCUCUCUCUCUCUCUCUCUCUCUCUCUUAAUAGGUCUAGUUAUUUAUUCGCGUGUAUAUAUUCGUUACUCAUUGCCGUGUUUCUUAAGUCUUCAUCGUUCUUCCUCCUCUCGUAUCUGCUAUUCCAGUGAUAUUUCUUACAUCUUACCCCUUCAAUACUGCGAUUUUUACCUGAUUUUUGGGUAUGACUAAACGAUUUUAUAUGCAUUAGGAAGAGUCUAUGGAGGUCAAAAGAUUAACGGCCAGAGUCUUCACUAUUUUAAUCCCCACACAAGUUUCUGAAGCUGUAUAAAAUCACCAAAUAGUACGCAGAAUGAAUAUAGAAACGUGGCAUGGUACUGAAGGGGUUAAUGUGUUACAGAAUCAAUGACUAUUUUCCUUUCCUAUACUAAGCCACACUUUUCUAUUCAUAUACAGUAAUGCCUCUAUUCUUUCUUCUAAACUUCUCUUCUUUAACGGGUGGAAGCUAAUUCAAAGGGAAGUUUUAUUACACACACACACACACACACACACACACACACACACACACACACACACACACACACACACACACACCAUUCACUUCAUUUCAUUUUCAUAUUUUUUUCUGUAAUUCACCCCUUGUACUUCAGUAAAUUCCCCCACCCCCUUUUUUCUCUCUCUCUCUCAAACAACACAUACAAAAAAAAAAAAUUCCCUCACUACUCAGCCUCCAUAUAGGUCACCUGGGUCAGUGUUUUAUUCCCACUUGUGUGGUGUGUUACUUUCUACACCUGGGGUUGUUCAAUUUAAGACAUGGUGGAACUCAACUGACAAUCACUUUUAUCUCACAAUGCAAGACAUCUACAGGUCAUCCUUUCACUUUCUAUGCUUCCCUCUCUACUCCUUUCAUUUCUAGCGAUCACAGUCCAGUUUAAUGGAAUGAGUUUCAUUUUGAGUCUGGCUUGAAGAUCUAUUUGCUUCUUGUGACCUAAUUAGAGUUGUGUGUGGAUUCUGCUGUUGUUGUUGUUGUUAUUGUUGCUGUUGUUAUGUUGUGAUCAAUGUAUCAUCAGUCCUGGUUGACUGUCUUUAGAAGCAUUUAUGUUUUGUUUCUCAUAUAUAUAUAUAUAUAUAUAUAUAUAUAUAUAUAUAUAUAUAUAUAUAUAUAUAUAUAUAUAUAUAUAUAUAUAUAUUAGUAUUGUUAAAUGUUUACAGAUUUAUAUACCUAAUUUAAAUAAAAUUGUGCCAGUUCUACUUUGUGUUUCAACACAGAGACAACUUGAAUGGGUAAUUUUACUGCAAACAAAAUGUCAAGUAAAGAAUUUAAGUCAAUUCUUUUAUAUCAAACUUUUUAAUUUAAUAAGAGCAGUGUAUCAAGCAAACAUCUUAUCAACAUUUCAUACUGAAGUAUCUCUAUUUCUUGACCAGACAAGGCCCAAAAUAAAUUUACUA